Molecule: transfer RNA, 82 nt
Filed under: Micromonosporaceae bacterium
Lineage: Bacteria; Bacillati; Actinomycetota; Actinomycetes; Micromonosporales; Micromonosporaceae
Description: tRNA-Leu
Rfam family: tRNA
About the family: Transfer RNA (tRNA) molecules are approximately 80 nucleotides in length. Their secondary structure includes four short double-helical elements and three loops (D, anti-codon, and T loops). Further hydrogen bonds mediate the characteristic L-shaped molecular structure. tRNAs have two regions of fundamental functional importance: the anti-codon, which is responsible for specific mRNA codon recognition, and the 3' end, to which the tRNAs corresponding amino acid is attached (by aminoacyl-tRNA synthetases). tRNAs cope with the degeneracy of the genetic code in two manners: having more than one tRNA (with a specific anti-codon) for a particular amino acid; and 'wobble' base-pairing, i.e. permitting non-standard base-pairing at the 3rd anti-codon position.
Source: RNAcentral
GCCCGGGUGGUGGAACAGGCAUACACGGCCGCCUUAAAAGCGGCUGCCGAGAGGCUUGCGGGUUCGAGUCCCGCCCCGGGCA